AGGAAAUUAAUUUGGACACUAAGUGUCAGUUCAAAUUUAUGUGUUUUAAUUGAAUCGCACUAGAUCCUACUAUCAAAACACAUCUAAUUACCCAAAUCAUCCACAAUUUUCUCAGUUUGUAUACAGAUUAAAAAAACAAAACAGCUUUCCUCGAAUGACUGCACAUUACUAAGUUCUUCGUCCUGAUGAGGAAUUAAACGUCACUGUCAUAUUCUUAUCUCAAUCAUUCCAUAAAUCCACCGGAAACAGUCAACCCGGCGCUCCGUUGAGGUCAAGACUCGAGAAGGAGAAACUAUCGGCAUGCUCCGAUGCGGUUAGCCUUCAGGUUCAGGACACGUCUGAAUCCAAAACUCCAGCCAAUAUGCGCAGAAGCGGAAGAACAAGAAGGCAUCGAUGUCUCAGUGGAACCGAAGGAGCCUGAACCCUCCUCUCGUCCAAUGAUGAAGAGGGGACGGUCAACGGAGGAACCGCAUCCUGAGGCAAUGGAUGCCACCACCAUCAGUGUAUCCGGUACGUGUUCUUACAAUAUACAACCAUACUAAUAGCCAGGACUACCUUCAGGUACGUGGGGAAAAGCUGCACUGUGGAUUCGGUUCCGUCUAGCACUGCUGCAGUAAGAGGAAGGAGGCAGCAGCUACUUACCAUCAUGCAGAUUAAUCUGCAUCACUGCAAAGUGGCUGGAGUUGAAUUUCACCUAUCUGUUCUAGGGAGCGAACGGUACAUCACCACCUCCAACGGAGAUAAGGGUAGGAGACGCUACGGCGGUUAGAUUGGAGACUUCUCGUAAUCUUCUCCUUGUACCUGCCAUACGAGUACCCCAACCCACCAGGCCAAGUAGUUCGCGGAGCUGGGAAGCAAGGGCAACUUUAUCGCUGGAUGUGAUGCCAACGCGCACCACUUUCAAUGGGUCAGUAAGAAUACCAAUGCCAGAGGUAAGUCGUUUUUUGAAUUUAUUCUCAGGCAUAAUCUCAAAAUAUGUAAGAGGAGAAAUAAGCCUCUAUUUCAAAACAAAGAUAGGGAGGAAGUCAUUGAUCUUACCCUAACUAAUGUGGAUGAAUCGCUCAUACUGAACUGGAAAGUAAAUAAAAACCCCAUAGGAAUCCAAGGAAGGCUCGGUGGGAUAAAUUUACAGAUUAUGCUACAUUGAGACUGAGAUACAAAGGUAAUGUACAGGCAGAAUUUCAUAACAAAAGUCUUAUUUAAAUGCAAAGAAAAGGCCUGUCCUGGCAAGAAAUGCCAACCGGUCUGGUCGUCUACGCACCUAACUGGUCUUAUUUAAGCAAGCAGAAGCUUAUAUAAUAGAGCCAACUUACUACGGACUGGGAGGCGUAUAAGACUUUCAAUAAUUACAACGUUGAGAUCCAGAAGGCUAAACGGAAAUCUUGGGUCUGAUAUACUGAGCCCAUAGUAGGUGUCGAUGAAGCAUCCAAGUUUGGCUAAGUCCAACGGUACGUUGGACUGCUCUAGAGAGUCUCAAUCUGUUGGCCACUACUUACUUUACGAAUUGCACUGAAGCGACAAGCGAUCAACAGUUAGAUCGACCUCAUCAGCACCGUGCGGCAGGGGACGUGAGCAGGGCUGCCAACUAAAUUUCUAGGAAAAUCAAUCUAGUAAAUUUUUCAGAAAAAAAUGGGAUUAACGGCAUUUGUAUUCUUGAAAAUCUGCAAAGUGUAAAUUAUUAAAUUAAAGCAUAUUUUUUGGUUUAUAACAAAAUACAA
Long non-coding RNA from Musca domestica (house fly), 1718 nucleotides. RefSeq lists it as uncharacterized. The record is from RefSeq and is a predicted model, not a curated record. Lineage: Eukaryota; Metazoa; Arthropoda; Insecta; Diptera; Muscidae. The transcript has 2 exons.